GGAAUCCUAGUUAUCCGUGUUUCUCAGGAUUCUUACAACACAUCAUACACACAUCCAGGAUUGGGAACAAACACUGCUGGAAAGGUAUUAGAUGUCCAAGGAAAGAGCCAAGUCCAGUUACACAUGAUGAUCCCUACAUGAUCUUUGGGAACGUUUUUUAUUCCAUGGUCUUCUGUUGUCUUAAGUACUUCAGAUGUAGACUAGAAAAGACAAACAAUCUCCUGAAAAUAUCUCUACAGAAAGAGCUUUCUCCCAGAAC
Molecule: long non-coding RNA, 259 nt
Filed under: Cricetulus griseus (Chinese hamster)
Lineage: Eukaryota; Metazoa; Chordata; Mammalia; Rodentia; Cricetidae
Description: lncRNA (ENSCGRG00015037098.1)
Source: RNAcentral